UUGACCUCGGAUCAGGUAGGGAUACCCGCUGAACUUAAGCAU
This 42-nucleotide ribosomal RNA is filed under the name Aspergillus flavus. RNAcentral's name for it is "partial 28S ribosomal RNA". Lineage: Eukaryota; Fungi; Ascomycota; Eurotiomycetes; Eurotiales; Aspergillaceae. RNAcentral also lists the same sequence under 60 other names. The record is from RNAcentral.